Molecule: long non-coding RNA, 1288 nt
Filed under: Cyanistes caeruleus (blue tit)
Lineage: Eukaryota; Metazoa; Chordata; Aves; Passeriformes; Paridae
Description: lncRNA (ENSCCEG00000014705.1)
Source: RNAcentral
AUGACACAAAGAAACUCCAGGACAAGCUUCAUUCCCUGUCAUUACCAUUUCCAAGUGACAAACAAAGGACGACGCAUCCAUCGGCUGUUCUGGACCACAGAAGGUUUCAACAUAUUUCAGCAGCAUCAUUGUCCCCCUGCCCUCGGUGGAACCAAGAGUAAAGAUGCUUCCCAGAGCCCCAGACCUCACAGCCCCGUGUUUAAGCUGUGGCCACUGAUGGUGGACCUGAGGCUGGGCCAUACUGUGGAGAUGAUUCUGGAAGGCUGCUCCAGCACUGCCAGGUGAGGCCCCUGCCAAGGGCAGAACCUUCCCCAUCAGAUCUCCUCCACUGGGGCUUCUGCAGCUCCUUGGCAUUUGCCUGGAAAAAGGAGCAAGUGACUUCAAGAAACUGUUUAAAGGCCACAGGUUUCCAUGGAAGCACCAGUUGCUUUCCUUGCUGGCCACCAUCAGUUGCUAAGGCUCUUUUGUGUUUCCAUAGCUACCAAAACCCAGUGCUGAUCCCAAAAUACAGGCUGACGGAAAUAUUGCUCCUUCAGGGCAAACAGAGGUUACCAAUGUUGUGUGCUGAGGCAGAAAGGGAGGGCAGGGAAAGUAAGUUACACUUAAGACUAGAAGCCAGGCAGGAAGUAAAUUAAACAAAUCCCAAAUGCUUUAUUCAGGAGAAGCAAGGAGUAAAACAGAAGCCCUGUGAAGGGUUGUGUGUCUGGGAGCAGCAUUGCUUUUUGUUUGAAGACAAACAUGGGCAGAAGGCUGGUCUAGCCCUGAGUCCUGGAGGAGGAAAACACAGUGUGCCAGCUCUAAUGAUCAGUGUGGUGUCUAUCCAUGUGGGAAACUGCUCCCAGGGAUCGUUAUAAUUGACAACUUGACUUUUGCCAAUAUUUCCAUAACCACUCAUCCCAGUCUCUCAGCCAGCCCUGGUGUCCCAAGGGCAGCCAGGUUUUGCAGCACCCUUAGAGAGCAGCUCAGAGGAGAUUUUAGCAGGAUCGUGGAUAUUCUCCUUUCUGUGCCUUUUUUCCCAGGGAAAAUGCAACUCUACAGAGAAAAUGCCAGCUAACCCUGGUGUGCAUUCCCUGGCUCCAGGACCACUGGGCACACAUGGAAGUGAAUGUGAAAUGUGCAUGCAUGAAGCUCCUGCUUAUACUGGUAUUCUGAGAAAGGUGCCUCAGUGGUAGCUUGAGGAAGACUUGCCCAGUUGCCUUCAGAGGGACUGUCCCUGUGCAGUUUUGAGCCCAAAGGUUUUGCUGGAGAGGUAAAUAAAAUUAUCAGGGUACUAGUGAGGAUGUCUUGC